RNAcentral lists this transfer RNA (75 nucleotides) under Candidatus Zixiibacteriota bacterium. RNAcentral's name for it is "candidate division Zixibacteria bacterium tRNA-Gln". It matches the Rfam family "tRNA". Rfam says of the family: Transfer RNA (tRNA) molecules are approximately 80 nucleotides in length. Their secondary structure includes four short double-helical elements and three loops (D, anti-codon, and T loops). RNAcentral also lists the same sequence under 1 other name. The record is from RNAcentral. Lineage: Bacteria; Pseudomonadati; Candidatus Zixiibacteriota.
UGGGGUGUCGUCAAGUGGUAAGACACAAGCCUUUGGAGCUUGCAUUCGCAGGUUCGAAUCCUGCCACCCCAGCCA